Molecule: ribosomal RNA, 825 nt
Filed under: uncultured Lactobacillus sp.
Lineage: Bacteria; Bacillati; Bacillota; Bacilli; Lactobacillales; Lactobacillaceae
Description: bacterial SSU rRNA
Rfam family: Bacterial small subunit ribosomal RNA
Source: RNAcentral
GGAGAAGUGCAUCGGAAACUGGGAAACUUGAGUGCAGAAGAGGACAGUGGAACUCCAUGUGUAGCGGUGGAAUGCGUAGAUAUAUGGAAGAACACCAGCGGCGAAGGCGGCUGUCUAGUCUGUAACUGACGCUGAGGCUCGAAAGCAUGGGUAGCGAACAGGAUUAGAUACCCUGGUAGUCCAUGCCGUAAACGAUGAGUGCUAGGUGUUGGAGGGUUUCCGCCCUUCAGUGCCGCAGCUAACGCAUUAAGCAUUCCGCCUGGGGAGUACGACCGCAAGGUUGAAACUCAAAGGAAUUGACGGGGGCCCGCACAAGCGGUGGAGCAUGUGGUUUAAUUCGAAGCUACGCGAAGAACCUUACCAGGUCUUGACAUACUAUGCAAAUCUUAGAGAUAAGACGUUCCCUUCGGGGACAUGGAUACAGGUGGUGCAUGGUUGUCGUCAGCUCGUGUCGUGAGAUGUUGGGUUAAGUCCCGCAACGAGCGCAACCCUUAUUAUCAGUUGCCAGCAUUAAGUUGGGCACUCUGGUGAGACUGCCGGUGACAAACCGGAGGAAGGUGGGGAUGACGUCAAAUCAUCAUGCCCCUUAUGACCUGGGCUACACACGUGCUACAAUGGACGGUACAACGAGUCGCGAAGUCGUGAGGCUAAGCUAAUCUCUUAAAGCCGUUCUCAGUUCGGAUUGUAGGCUGCAACUCGCCUACAUGAAGUUGGAAUCGCUAGUAAUCGCGGAUCAGCAUGCCGCGGUGAAUACGUUCCCGGGCCUUGUACACACCGCCCAUCACACCAUGAGAGUUUGUAACACCCAAAGCCGGUGAGAUAACC